This is a non-coding RNA of Musa acuminata subsp. malaccensis (wild Malaysian banana), 657 nucleotides long. The record is from RefSeq and is a predicted model, not a curated record. NCBI's taxonomy places the organism in Eukaryota, Viridiplantae, Streptophyta, Magnoliopsida, Zingiberales, Musaceae.
GGGAGACGCGAAACUAAAGCUAGCCGUCGAAUCCAUCACCGCCGCCCCCCGCCGCCGCCUUACGGUGACUCCGCCCGGAUCGAGGCGCGCGUACGGUGGAUUCCACUCGACGUCGUAACGAGGCCAGAAGACGACGGUUCCCGUCGUGCGUAUAACGGGGGGCCAAAGCCAGAAGCGGAGCAGGCGCAGAGCUCCGAGAGAGCUCACUAAAUAAAUGCAAGACUCGAACUUUGAUGGAGACUGAAUUAAGCGAGCCUGACAUAUGGGGAAGCAUUUCAUCAGAGAUUCUUGCCUCUACGACAUCCAUUCGAUUUCUUCCUCAGAAGCUACAAUAUGUGGUUCAAGAAGAAAGAGCAAAUGCAGCUUGCCAGAAAAUUCUACUGAAGAUGGUGAUGAUGUGUCUGAGGUGUUGCAUUCUUAUGAUGAAUGGGCAUGUAAUCAUCACAGACAGCGGCGGUGGUUUGAGCUCAUUAGUAGGUCUAAAUUGUAGAACAUGAGUUGGAACAGACUUGGUCAGAAACGAAACCAAGUAGCAGAAUUGUGUUACUACUUUGAAAGGCAAGUCAUUUGGCUAUUGUAAGAAUUAGAUAUGAUCAUUUUGGCAAAAACUUCCGCCAACAAACUGAUGUUAGUGAUUGGCAGCAUGUAUCAUACAAU